Lutra lutra (Eurasian river otter) is the source of this 1329-nucleotide long non-coding RNA. RefSeq lists it as uncharacterized. The record is from RefSeq and is a predicted model, not a curated record. Lineage: Eukaryota; Metazoa; Chordata; Mammalia; Carnivora; Mustelidae. The transcript has 5 exons.
CAGUCUGUCUUGGAUACAGGCAUCAAGGGGGUGCAUUACGUGCAGAAAUUUAAAAAACAAUAAUAAAACUGACUAAAAGUCAGUCUGCUUUUUAUUAUCACCAUGUGCCAACAAUUCUAAACAUUGCCAGUGAUAAAAUACUCCUCCUUGAAAAAGUCUUUUGUUGGUCUAACUUCCAAACAACUACAGUGGUUACUGAGGUGCAGCUCUGUGCCUUACAAGAAAUCUAGGCUUUAUUGGAGAAUCUACACUCUCUUAAUGUGACUGCCUCUCAGACAUCAGAAGACAACCUCACAUCACCUAGCCAUCCUAGGACCUUCCUUAAGGAUGCAAAUGCCCUGGUGUGGUUCUCCCAAACAAUUUACUUGACUUCUGGAUCUGCAAUUAUCCAUCAUCAGAGGGCUAAUCAUCACAGGAUGGUCCAGUUCCUGCACUGCUCAUGGUUCUAGGGUUUUAAAGGUUUUAGUGGUCCCACUAUCAAGGAGGUAGACGUAUGCACAUAUAAUAAUGGCGCAAAGUGAAAACUACCUUAAGAGAAGUAGACCCUCUAUAUUGCUCUUUUAAUACAUUCAAUAUAGGCAGUGAAACUAACCUACUGCUGCAUGAAAUUGAAAACUUGUUCUUUUCUUUUUAUUCAUUGUUCAGUAAAAAUGUAAAUCUGUAAGAGUCAGCCACUGUUAAAUCCCAGGUUUUAUCUCCUGAAUCAUUUUAUUUUACCUUGAAGCCAGCUUUUCUGUUUGCUCAUGGCCACAACCUGAAUUCUUGACUUGACAAAGCUGUGGCAGAACCACAAGAAAGAAACAAGUAGUAAUGAAGAAUCCAGAACUCAGAACCACUGGCUCCACCUUGCUAUGUUCCCUUGAGCAAGCUCCUGGGCCUCUCUUGACCUCAGUUUUCUUCUCUGCCAAACAGAAAUACAGCUGCCCAGCUUACUGGAGCCUUUGUGCUGAAUCAGUGGGACUUGUUUUAGCUUUGCAUGGACCUGAGUGAGCUCUGCAGCCACCACCUAUAACUGAGGUCUCUUGUGCCAUGCUUUGAAAGGAAAUUACCCACAACAACUCUCAUUUGAGGAGAAUAAAGCCAUGAGGACUUGCAUUUUUAACCUACACAUGGCCAGCAAAGGCACACAGAGUUGACAUGGAACCCAGAACCAACUGAGGCAAAUAUUGGCCUCAGAACACAGGACAGACACCAAAGAGUACCACAAGGAAGAGAAAUGAAAAUGAAAUUUAGAACUGCAAAACUCUGAGAGUCCCAGUUCCCAAUACUUGUAGGACCUUGGAUAAGCCACUUAAUAUCUUCAUAGAACCCUAGUUUCUCUUCAGCAAA